CCUACGGGGUGCAGCAGUGGGGGAUAUUGGACAAUGGGGGAAACCCUGAUCCAGCGACGCCGCGUGAGUGAAGAAGUAUUUCGGUAUGUAAAGCUCUAUCAGCAGGGAAGAAAGAAAUGACGGUACUUGAGUAAGAAGCCGCGGCUAACUACGUGCCAGCAGCCGCGGUAAUACGUAGGGGGCAAGCGUUAUCCGGAAUUACUGGGUGUAAAGGGAGCGUAGACGGUAAUGCAAGUCUGGAGUGAAAGGCGGGGGGCCAACCCCCGGACUGCUCUGGACACUGGGUAACUGGAGUGCAGGAGAGGUAGGCGGAAUUCCUGGUGUAGCGGUGAAAUGCGUAGAUAUUAGGAGGAACACCAGUGGCGAAGGCGGCCUGCUGGACUGUAACUGACGUUGAGGCUCGAAAGCGUGGGGAGCAAACAGGAUUAGAUACCCUAGUAGUC
This 443-nucleotide ribosomal RNA is filed under the name uncultured bacterium. RNAcentral describes it as "partial 16S ribosomal RNA". It matches the Rfam family "Bacterial small subunit ribosomal RNA", at positions 338 to 795 of the family's 1533-position model. The record is from RNAcentral.